Molecule: ribosomal RNA, 439 nt
Filed under: uncultured soil bacterium
Lineage: Bacteria
Description: bacterial SSU rRNA
Rfam family: Bacterial small subunit ribosomal RNA
Source: RNAcentral
AGAACGAACGCUGGCGGCAGGCUUAACACAUGCAAGUCGAGCGCCCCGCAAGGGGAGCGGCAGACGGGUGAGUAACGCGUGGGAAUCUACCCAGAUCUUCGGAACAACCCAGGGAAACUUGGGCUAAUACCGGAUACGCCCUACGGGGGAAAGAUUUAUCGGUUCUGGAUGAGCCCGCGUUGGAUUAGCUAGUUGGUGGGGUAAUGGCCUACCAAGGCUACGAUCCAUAGCUGGUCUGAGAGGAUGAUCAGCCACACUGGGACUGAGACACGGCCCAGACUCCUACGGGAGGCAGCAGUGGGGAAUAGUUGGACAAUGGGCGAAAGCCUGACUCCAACCAUGCCGCGUGAGUGAUGAAGGCCUUAGGGUGUAAAGCUCUUCAGUGGGAAGAUAAUGACGGUACCACAGAAGAAGCCCGCUAACUCGUGCCAGCAGCCGC